GUUUGAUCUCGGCUCAGAUUGAACGCUGGCGGAUGCUUUACACAUGCAAGUCGAACGGCAGCACGGACUUUGGUCUGGGUGGGCGAGUGAAGUGAACGGGUGAGUAAUGUAUCGGAACGUGCCUAGUAGCGGGGAUAACCACGCGAAAGCGUAGGCUAAUACCGCAUAACGCCCUUCGGGGGAAAGCGGGGACCUUCGGGGCCUCGCACUAUUAGAGCGGCCGACAUCGGAUUAUAGCUAGUUGGUGGGGCAAUGGCUCACCACAGCGACGAUCCGGCUGGUUUGGAGAGGAUCGACCAGCCAUGACUGGGAUCAUACGCCCAGACUCCUACGGAGGCAGCAGUGGGGAAUUUUGGACAAUGGGGAAACCCUGAUCCAGCCAUCCUGCAAAAGGAGAAGGCCUUCGGGUUGUAAAGCACUUUUGGCAGGAAGAAAACGCAUCGGAUAAUACCCGCAACUGACGGUACCUGCAGAAUAAGCACCGGCUAAGACCCAUGUGCCAGCAGCCGCGGUAAUAUGUAGGUGCAAGCGUUAAUUGAAAUUACUGGGCGUGAAGCGUGUAGGCGGUUCGGAAAGAAAGAUGUGAAAUCCCAGAGCUUAACUUUGGAACUGCAUUUUUAACUACCGAGCUAGAGUGUCAGAGGGAGGUGGAAUUCCGCGUGUAGCAGCAAAUGCGUAGAUAUGCGGAGGAACACCGACAUGGCGAAGGCAGCCUCCUGGGGAUAACACCGGACGCCUAUGCACGAAAGUGGGGAGCAAACAGGAUUAGAGCACCCUGGUAGUCCACGCCCUAAACGACGUCAACUAGCUGUUGGGGCUCUCGGGCCUUUGGUAGCGCAGCUAACGGGCGGUGGAAGUUGACUGCCUGGGGAGUACGGUCAAAAGAUUAAACUCAAAGGAAUUGACGACCUUGCACAAGCGGUGGAUGAUGUGAUUAAUUGAUGCAACGCGAAAACCUUACCUACCCUUGACAUGUCUGAAUCCUGAAGAGAUUUGGGAGUGUCGCAAGAGAACCGGAACACAGGUGCUGCAUGGUCACGCUCGUGUCGUGAGAUGCUGGGUUAAGUCCCGCAACGAGCGCAACCCUUGUCAUUAAGCCAGUACAAAAGGGCACUCGACGAGACUGCCGGUGACAAACUGAGUAGCGGUGGGAUGAUCAAGACCUCAUGGCCCUUAUGGGUAGGCUUCACACGUCAUACAAUGGUCGGGACAGAGGGCUGCCAACCCGCGAGGGGAGCCAAUCCCAGAAACCCGAUCGUAGUCCGGAUCGCAGUCUGCAACUGACUGCGUGAAGUCGGAAUCGCUAGAACGCGGAUCAGCAUGUCGCGGUGAAUACGUUCCCGGGUCUGUACACACCGCCCGUCCGCCACCAUGGGGAGUGGGUUUACCAGAAGUAGUUAGCCGCCUAACUGCAAGGAGGGCGAUUACUACGGUAGAUUCAUGACUGGGGUGAAGUCGCAACAAGGC
RNAcentral lists this ribosomal RNA (1467 nucleotides) under uncultured Bordetella sp. RNAcentral describes it as "partial 16S-23S ribosomal RNA intergenic spacer". It matches the Rfam family "Bacterial small subunit ribosomal RNA". The record is from RNAcentral. Lineage: Bacteria; Pseudomonadati; Pseudomonadota; Betaproteobacteria; Burkholderiales; Alcaligenaceae.